RNAcentral lists this unclassified non-coding RNA (275 nucleotides) under Helotiales sp. RNAcentral describes it as "partial contains 5.8S ribosomal RNA, internal transcribed spacer 2, and large subunit ribosomal RNA". The stretch from base 1 to 52 matches the Rfam family "5.8S ribosomal RNA", at positions 103 to 154 of the family's 154-position model. Lineage: Eukaryota; Fungi; Ascomycota; Leotiomycetes; Helotiales. The record is from RNAcentral.
AACGCACCUUGCGCUCCUUGGUAUUCCGAGGAGCAUGCCUGUUUGAGUGUCAUUAAAUUAUCAAACUCCUUCAAUUUGAAGGAGGCUUGGAUUUGGAGUGUUGCCGGCUUUCAAGUUGGCUCCUCUUAAAAGUAUUAGCGUGUACCCUUUGUGGAAUAGGCUUUUGGUUUGAUAAUAUCUAUGCCAUUGCCGUGAAGCAAGUGUGUUCAGCUUCUAAAUAGACAACUCUUUGACAUUUUGACCUCAAAUCAGGUAGGACUACCCGCUGAACUUAG